Ostrea edulis (European flat oyster) is the source of this 3830-nucleotide long non-coding RNA. RefSeq lists it as uncharacterized. Lineage: Eukaryota; Metazoa; Mollusca; Bivalvia; Ostreida; Ostreidae. The transcript has 8 exons. The record is from RefSeq and is a predicted model, not a curated record.
CUUGUUCCAUGGUAGGGCAUAUGCAUAUCUAGAGGUAGUAGAUGAAACGCAGUUCAUUAUUCUAAUAUUUCAAGCUCUUUAAUCGCAAUAGGAACAUACUAUUGAAAAUAUAUAUCAAAUAUGUUCAUUAAUCAUGUGAGUUUUUUCCCCUAUAGGUGGUGACUGAAGUCUGGUCAGUCGGUAGGCAGCAGUACUCAAUUUACCGCAUUCCUACAAUCCAACUGAAAUUACGGGUAUUCAGAAUCGGCCUUCGAACAGUUGAUGAAGCCCGCCCUGGUAGAUGGAAUCUGCCGCUUGACCAGCAGCACUGUCCAGAGACAGUGGUUGAUGCUGGAUAUAUGACUUUUCCUCAGCCCAUCAUUACCUGCUGGAGUGCUGGUAGAGGCUGAACGCUUUAAUAAAUAUAACUGUGAUCUUGCUGAGAUGUAGUAAUCCAUGGGAAUUUUCCAAAGAAGAUUCAAGAGAAGUAUUCAAUUUUCUCAUAAGUUCAGACUGUAGAGAGCAUGGAAGCAGAUAUUACAGUUAUCUCCCUUAGACUAGAUGAAUUACAAUGCAACACUUUCAAAUCAUCUAAGUUUAGAGUUAUAAUGCUGUUUGAAUUCUCUGAAUUUGGCUACGGUUACUAGUUAAAGACAUAACACAUGUAUUGCCUCAGUUUACUUACAAUUAUAACAUACAGUAUAAUUUGUCCAAACCGGCCUCUGAGUACUCCGGCGCUCUGUCAAUUCCGGCCAUAAAAUAUAGUCCCUAACAUUUCUUUAACAAAUCCUUUAUUAAUAAUUCCCUGUACUCCGGAUACUGCGUAUUCUGUAUAUCGGCCGGCUCACACAGUCCCAACUGCUAUCAAUUAACUUUAAUUAUCCUGUGUAAACCGGCCCCUCGAUGAUACACCACCCUAAUUGUUGUGGUCAAUUGUAUUCGGUGUACACAAGGUCCCAACUGCUCGUAAUUAGCUCUAAUUAUCGCAUUUAAACCAGCCACCCCACGAUGACCAACCUGUCGGUAUUCAGUCGAUCACACGCGGUGUACACAAAAGGUGUCUCAAGAGAAGCCACAGGUAAGUAAAAGAGUGCAACUGGCGAUGAGUCGCGAUCAGUUUAAAAUAAAACCUGAUUUUUAUGGGGUGCACUUUUCAAUUAUGACAGCACCACGCUCGAGGUAAUGGCGCCCUCCCCCUAACGACAGAGACGAGAACUGACAUUAAAAGACAAAAUUCAAUUAAUCGAUGGAUUCGAUACAUUCUUGGAAUGAAACAAAAUCGGCAACAAUUCCGUUAUGUUUUUUAAAAGCAGGGUUUCCCCUCGUGGACUUCUCGGAGCUCUAUGGCAAGUCAGACAGUGAUGAUAUGCAGUUAGUUAGCAUAACUCGCAAUGUCCGGUCGAUCACUCGGCAUUGUAUUAGUUUCCGUUUCUCAAAUUGAGACAGUUGAAAGCGAUACAUUUACAAUGAAAGCUGGGAAAGACAAAUUUUAAACGAACACAACACAAACUUGACGAACGUACAUAAUGUAGCACUUGAUAACGGCGAUGGUGUAGACGAAAUUGACAAUUUACCAACAGAAAAUUGCGCGAAUAAUUCCCAGAUUUUAAACUGUUUAAUAAAAAUUGAAACUUUUUCAAAUGAGCACGACAAUAAAACACUGAUAUUUAUAUUUUACAUUUUGAAUUCUUUUGUGAUAUAUUAAAACAUUAGCAAUCAUUACACACGUAUGCAUAGAUAGUGAAUACAAGGGAAGCAACUCUCAUUCUUGUCAACAUUCUGCACUCCGGACUCUGUGCAAACCGGCCAAUUUCUUUGGAACCACACAUAGCCGGUUUAGACAGAUUAUACUGUAUACCUAUAAGUAUAAAUUGUCCUUCUCUUAAUUUUAUAUACUUUGUGGAAUUUAUUAUCAGUGUUAUCUUCUCUUUAUAUUACCAGUAUAUUCUAUGUACCUGACUCACCAGGAAUGCAUUGUUAGGUCACCUUAGUCACUCAGGUGAUCGUUUGCUAUUGAUCUGCCCGUUCGUUAUUGUCAUCUGUCGAUUGUAUGUAUGGAUUCGUUUAACACCUCCCUCAACGAAAUUUCACUCAUGGAGACAUCAUCAAUUCCGGUGAAGGGCUGCAAAAUUUAGGUCUAUGCUCGGCGCUUAUGGCCUUUGAGCAGGGAGGGAUUUUUAUCUUGCCACAAAACAUUCUUGGGAAAAGGGGAUUCAUGUUUGUUCAAAUGAAGCAGCGUGUCAACUUGAAAGGGGUAAUUAUACAGUGAAACUUCUCCAAAUCGGCCCCUCAGAAAACCAUUCCUCUCUGAAUAUCGCCCAAUUCUUAAAGUCUCUGUAGGAAUCUUAACAUAUCCUUUCAAAGAAAUUCAUAUAGUCCAAAAUGUGACUUAUCGAGAUUUCCGCCAUUUUUGACAAGGGACUUCUGGGAUGAUCCUCAGUUAAAGGUUCAGAUUUAGCUCGGAUUAUUCUGUGCUCUUUAGUCAUUGGACCUUGCAGUAUGAGCCAGAGCACUGCGCUCGCUAUUAGUAUGCAAGUAGCUGCAUUUAAUUCAAAUUGAAGUUGAACACAAGGACCCCAGGGGUAGGGUGGGGGCAGAAUAUGAAAUCAGAGUUUUAUAUGGUAAUAUGCAGAAAAUUUAUUAAAACAAAGACUUUUCAAGAGUAGCAGGGCCACACUAAAUCAUAUCCAAAUGCAAAUGUCCCCAAGUUGUGUGAAAACAAGGUUUUUUUAUGACCCUGACUAAGGAUGGGGUGGAAUUGUUUUUGUCCUGUCUGUCUGAAAUUUUAACCUUCCUCAUAACUUUUAAAUAAUGAGCAAUGGGGCUCUCAUAUUUGCAUUCUUUUUUAUAGCCAUAAAGUCUUUCACCUCGUGACCUUGACAUUAGAGUUUCAUCUACUGACCGGUUUAGCUUUCUGGACCUUAAAAGAUGUUGACACCCUGCUGAUGGAGCAGAUCCUAUUUCUUAGAAGCAGAAAGCAGUUCUCUUACCAUCAGAUCUGAUCCAUUUUUGGAGAUAGCCUUUUGUAUGGAGCUGGGUAACGGUUACUGGAGACAUGCUGUUGAUUGAUGAGGAUAAUUUUCCCGAGACUCUGACAUAUUGCAGGACCUGGAUAGCUCUACUGGUGUUCAAAAUGCCAGGACUGUGAAGUGUUGUGAUGUUAUUGAUGGUCAACAGAAGACUGUGACCUUGAAUCUGAAGAUCUGUGAUGAAGACUGGACGUUUGGGGUCACUCUCUGUUACAGUACUACAAAUCUAACAGUGCGACACUCAGCCACAAAGAGGUUGUCUCUGAUGUCCACACAUAAACCGUAUGGACGUUCUAAAUCACAGUGAAUGUAACGGAGGAACUGUCCGUCCUGAUCUAGGAUGUGGAUACGGUGAUAGUCUGCUGUCAGGAUGUGACUCUGGCUGUCUGUAGUGAUGCCGGCUGGAUCAAAUGAUUGCUCGGUAUUAGAGGGAUGACCAGUGUAUCUAAAUCGGAGUUUUCCUGACUGAUUGACCACCACUACUGCACUAGCUAACCAGUCAGCCACACAGAUAUCCAGGUUCUUGUUCUCACUGAGGUAUUUAAUGUUACCAGAUUUAUAGAGAGGACGACCCUGAUCAUCAAACUGAAUGCUUUGUUUCUCUGUGGAGCCGGAGUAACGCACGACUUUGGAUUGUUUGUUAUCAUCACUGAUCAUGGUAACCAGGAGAUCGUUAGCCGCGGUACAGCAGACAUAGCCAGGCCUCCACCCCUGUAGUGUGAUCACGAUUGAGUUGAGUGGAACAAUGAACCUCCAGAUAUCUAUGUACAUUUACACGUGUAUGAUUAAACUUCUGUUGCACUCGCGCAUGCGAGCUUAUCC